AUCAUUUCUUGACCUUUUGGCUAAGAUCAAGUGUCACAUCUGUUGUUAUUAGUUAAAUCUUGGAUGCAUUCUCUAUCUGAAGUAAUAUGUUCCAUGUAUUUUUAGAGCAAGUCGAUGGAAUAGGGACUUUGUCCUUCUUGUAAGGAUCUCAUACAGAGCCAUAUCCUCAGAGAAGGGUGGUUUAC
This is a small nuclear RNA of Perognathus longimembris pacificus (Pacific pocket mouse), 185 nucleotides long. RefSeq annotates it as U2 spliceosomal RNA. The record is from RefSeq and is a predicted model, not a curated record. NCBI's taxonomy places the organism in Eukaryota, Metazoa, Chordata, Mammalia, Rodentia, Heteromyidae. The transcript has a single exon.